UUAUGAUGCUUUAUUGUGGAGCUUGAGAAAAUGUAUGAAUUUUCAGGUUUGUGAGAACCCAGCUCAUGGUGAGAAUCACCAAUUGAUGUCCCCCGCCUCAGAAGUGGUUAGACUAUUGUUCAAGCCAAACUAUUGCAUCUUGGGUUUGACUGGUGGUGUGAAGACUCAGACUAAUGAUAUGAAAUCGUCCUGUUUCAAGAAUUCCCAAUUGCUUUACCUAGAAGGGUAGGUGGGUUUUUUAAAUUAUCCUUAAUUAACUUGUUAUUUAAUCAGCCUUACAGCUGCCUCUCAUUCUGCUUACUUAGAAAGAUGCCCACCUUUGUGCCCAUGCGCACCCAUACCUCCACCUGCCAGACCAGUGGCUAGGAGAUCAGAUUCAGAACCCAGUGUCUGUGUUCGAAGCAUAUAAAGGACAUUCCAAUGGUGGGAAGACAAAGAAGGUGAAGAAGGAGGGUUUCAAGUCAGUAGGGAUUUUCUUGGGGGAGCCAAUCUAUAAUGAUAGGGAGGUGAGUUGGAAC
Molecule: long non-coding RNA, 518 nt
Filed under: Ictidomys tridecemlineatus (thirteen-lined ground squirrel)
Lineage: Eukaryota; Metazoa; Chordata; Mammalia; Rodentia; Sciuridae
Description: lncRNA (ENSSTOG00000029680.1)
Source: RNAcentral